RNAcentral lists this small RNA (176 nucleotides) under Paludibacter jiangxiensis. Its description in RNAcentral is "Porphyromonadaceae bacterium NM7 Bacteroidales-1 6S-Bacteroidales RNA suggested". It matches the Rfam family "Bacteroidales-1 6S-Bacteroidales RNA suggested". Lineage: Bacteria; Pseudomonadati; Bacteroidota; Bacteroidia; Bacteroidales; Paludibacteraceae. The record is from Rfam by way of RNAcentral.
AGCCGCUUCGGAUAAGCUGGAAAACUCAACAGAAAAAUCGUACUGAGAUAAGUUUAGGAGUUCAAUGGCGGGCUGCACCUUCGGGUUGUCGAGAGACACGGCAGAUUACAACGAAUUCUGACACUCAAACCCUAUUUAUUAGGAGUUUUCUCACAACUUCCGAAGUGGCUUUAUUC